AUUGAACGCUGGCGGCAGGCCUAACACAUGCAAGUCGAGCGGAUGAAGGGAGCUUGCUCCUGGAUUCAGCGGCGGACGGGUGAGUAAUGCCUAGGAAUCUGCCUGGUAGUGGGGGAUAACGUCCGGAAACGGGCGCUAAUACCGCAUAAGUCCUGGGGGAGGAAGGGGGGGAUCUUCGGACCUCCCGCCUUCAGAUGAGCCUAGGUCGGAUUAGCUAGUUGGUGGGGUAAAGGCCUACCAAGGCGACGAUCCGUAACUGGUCUGAGAGGAUGAUCAGUCACACUGGAACUGAGACACGGUCCAGACUCCUACGGGAGGCAGCAGUGGGGAAUAUUGGACAAUGGGCGAAAGCCUGAUCCAGCCAUGCCGCGUGUGUGAAGAAGGUCUUCGGAUUGUAAAGCACUUUAAGUUGGGAGGAAGGGCAGUAAGUUAAUACCUUGCUGUUUUGACGUUACCAACAGAAUAAGCACCGGCUAACUUCGUG
Molecule: ribosomal RNA, 484 nt
Filed under: uncultured bacterium
Lineage: Bacteria
Description: partial 16S ribosomal RNA
Rfam family: Bacterial small subunit ribosomal RNA
Source: RNAcentral